AGAUGGCGACCGGCGCACGGGUGAGUAACACGUAUCCAACCUGCCGAUAACUCGGGGAUAGCCUUUCGAAAGAAAGAUUAAUACCCGAUGGCAUAAUAGAACCGCAUGGUUUGAUUAUUAAAGAAUUUCGGUUAUCGAUGGGGAUGCGUUCCAUUAGGCAGUUGGUGGGGUAACGGCCCACCAAACCUUCGAUGGAUAGGGGUUCUGAGAGGAAGGUCCCCCACAUCGGAACUGAGACACGGUCCAA
This 247-nucleotide ribosomal RNA is filed under the name uncultured bacterium. Its description in RNAcentral is "partial 16S ribosomal RNA". It matches the Rfam family "Bacterial small subunit ribosomal RNA", at positions 86 to 334 of the family's 1533-position model. The record is from RNAcentral.